GGGAUUGCCUUAGUAACGGCGAGUGAAGCGGCAAGAGCUCAAAUUUGAAAUCGGCUACCAAGUCGAGUUGUAAUUUGUAGAUUGUUUCUUGAGAAUUUGGUUAAAGUUAGUUGGAACACUACGCCAUUGAGGGUGAUAGCCCCGUUUACCUUUUCUCACUGCAAGAAACUUUCAAAGAGUCGAGUUGUUUGGGAAUGCAGCUCUAAGUGGGAGGUAAAUUCCUUCUAAAGCUAAAUAUUGGCGAGAGACCGAUAGCGAACAAGUACUGUGAAGGAAAGAUGAAAAGAACUUUGAAAAGAGAGUGAAAAAGUACGUGAAAUUGUUAAAAGGGAAGGGUACUACAUCAGUCAUGGUGGUUAUGUUCAGUUUUCUCUCGGGGAAAUGUAUUCAUAACUACUAGGUCAAGAUGGGAUUUGUCUGGAAGAAAAAACUUUAGAAAUGUGGCUCUUUCGAGUGUUAUAAUCUAUUGCAAUAUUCCAUGACGGGUCUCAGGACUGCGAAUUUAUUUCUAGGAUCUUGACAUAAUGAUAUAGUACCGCCCGUCUUGAAACA
Molecule: ribosomal RNA, 552 nt
Filed under: Filobasidium wieringae
Lineage: Eukaryota; Fungi; Basidiomycota; Tremellomycetes; Filobasidiales; Filobasidiaceae
Also listed under: 1 other name
Description: eukaryotic LSU rRNA
Rfam family: Eukaryotic large subunit ribosomal RNA
Source: RNAcentral